Kogia breviceps (pygmy sperm whale) is the source of this 2041-nucleotide non-coding RNA. Lineage: Eukaryota; Metazoa; Chordata; Mammalia; Artiodactyla; Physeteridae. The record is from RefSeq and is a predicted model, not a curated record.
UGUCUUAAAAAUAUAAAAUCUCUUAGUCACAGCUCUAAGUCAGUGAUUAGAGGCAGUGUUGGCAGCAUUUUAUAGUUGAUAUCUUCUGUUACCCUUAGAAAAAUCUAACACAACAAUAUGAUGGUAAUAGUCUUGAAAGUACAGAUGACCCUUGAACAACAUGGGUUUGAACUGCACAGGUCCGCUUAUAUGCCAGUUUUUUUCAAAAAUGCAUAAUACAGUAAUACACAAUCUGCAGUUGGUUGGAAUUACAGUUAUGGAGGGCCGGCUGUAAAGUUAAAUGCGGAUUUUCUACUGCAUAGAGCGUCAGCACUCCUAACCCCUGCGUUGUUCAAGGGUCAGCUGUAUUCUAAAACUAAUUCAAAAUGAGUGAAAUGUGAAAUUAAUUGCCCAAGGACAGUAAGAGGUACUCCUUUCUUCCUACUAAAAAUGAAACAAAACCAAAUUCCUAGUUAAUAUUUAUUCCCCUUUUAGUAAAAAAUACCUUGUUGUGGUAAUGGCAAUAUCAUAGUAUUUAGUAUUAUUUCUUUUUAAAACAAAAUAUUCCUCUAAUUCUACAGUUAAAAUUUAUGAUAGUAUGAGAAGAAAGUCAAAAUAUUUCAUUCUUUUUUCUUGCAUUAAAAGUGAUUGGGCUGGUUCCAGAUAAAGAUGAAGAAGCACUCUCCACCAUGGCUCUUCCACUGAAUAUAGCUACGAAUGCACAGAGCAGCUGUUUGAGGACUCUGAAAAGAAAAUAGCAGCUACAGUUACGUGAGACAGCAUCAAGAUAAACAUCUAAACCAAUGGAACAGAAUAGAGAGCCCAGAAACAGACCCACACAUACAUGGAUAACAUUUUACAAAGGAGCAAAGGCAAUCACUCAAGGAGGUGUUCCUCUAAAAUGGAAUGAAUGAAGAAAGACGAAGACAUGGGAUAUAGGAAGUGGAUGCCUAACAUAGGAGACAGCAGGAAGGAAUCCCCAGGACGGUGGUGAAGAGGGAACUCAGAUGACAGCUGUGCCACAGGGAUGGAGCCACCAGACCAGAUCAGAGGCAGGUCAGAGGGCUCCUGAGGCAGUUCUUUAAGAAAAGGAAAAAAAUCUGAUGUGAAUGAAUUUACUAUGAAGGGAUGUAAAUAACUGAUAGAGAGGUUGGUGGUGAAGUAGUGAUCGGUACACAGAAAACCAAGCAAAUUUUAAAAAUAUUAAUUCUAGGGAAAACAUCAUGGUACACAGGAAAAGAAAAUCAGAGUGAUAAUAGCUUGGCCCUGAGUUGCCUUCAUAAUAAUGAAAACACUGAAUAUUAAAAUAUAACUGAAAUCGGGGGGGAAGGAAUAUGGGGCGGAUGGAGGUUCCCUAGCGAAGUCAGUUGAAGAGCUCAUUUCCUUAUCUGUUGAAGUCUUCAACAGGUAGUGCCUAAGAUGAGGUUAAAAAAGAAAAACACUUAAGUAUACAAAUAUAAAAAGAAUCAGUAAAAAGGGUUAAACCUGGUUUUUGCUCUUCAAGGAGAACAGGGGAUGGAGGUGGGGGAAAAGGGCUGAAACUGCUGUUGUCUUAAAACCAUGAAGAGCCAUCUGAGGCUUCAAAUGAUUGACUCUGAUUAAAAUACUGAGUUUAAAUAACAGUCUCCCCAUCCUGGGCAAAACAAGAACGAAAUGAUUCUCAUACUCAAAUAGGGCAUCGUUAUAAUGCAGUGUCCAAUGCAGGCCCAUAGAGGGCUCAAGAGGGCCUUGACUUCCUUUGAACUUUGUGUAUAAACUGUGUUUACAACUGGCUUCUUUACUAAAUUCUUCUGUUGCCUUUUGAUCUUUAUGAGAUAAUAUUGUUGACCUUGACAUCCUGGGAAUAUAGUAUAGUCAGUGAUCUCAAGAAACGUGGGAGAAAGUGGUCAGUGUGAAGUAAUUUAAAAGAAAUUUCAGGGGCUUCCCUGGUGGUGCAGUGGUUGAGGGUCUGCCUGUCAAUGCAAGGGACAUGGGUUCGUGCCCCGGUCCAGGAAGAUCCCACAUGCUGCGGAGCGGCUGGGCCCGUGAGCCAUGGCUGCUGAGCCUGCAUGUCCGGAGCCUG